This 253-nucleotide ribosomal RNA is filed under the name uncultured bacterium. RNAcentral describes it as "partial 16S ribosomal RNA". It matches the Rfam family "Bacterial small subunit ribosomal RNA", at positions 524 to 776 of the family's 1533-position model. The record is from RNAcentral.
UACGAGGGGGGCAAGCGUUGUUCGGAAUUAUUGGGCGUAAAGGGUGCGUAGGCGGUCUGAUAAGUCAUCUGUGAAAUCUAUGGGCUCAACCCAUAGUCUGCAGGCGAAACUGUCGGGCUUGGGUAUGGGAGAGGUGAGUGGAAUUUCCGGUGUAGCGGUGAAAUGCGUAGAUAUCGGAAGGAACACCUGUGGCGAAAGCGGCUCACUGGACCAUUACUGACGCUGAUGCACGAAAGCUAGGGGAGCAAACAGG